AGCCGAGGGCCUUUUUACCUCCAUCCCCUGUUAAACCGGGUCUGGAGGUGCUUGUGCCACCAGUGCUCUGGCUUUGUUAGACAUGCUCUGUAAACAAGGCAUGAAUUGGAGUUUCUGACAACAUUGUUGACAACCAAGCAGUCCACCCCUAUAUAUGCCAGCCCUGUUGAACACCCAAUUAGGCUGAAAAAGUUGUCAGAGGGAGGCUUGAAUUUUGUCAAUUGAAGUGAAAGUGGAGUUAUUGUGCCUUAUAAUGUGGAAGAGUGGUUUUCUGAACAAGAGGCUAUAAGCAGCUGAACCUACUUCUUCCAUUCCCAGAACAGCUAGUUUGAUGUUAAUGCACAUACAUACUGCCCUAUGACUCUAUCUGGAGAGACUUUCAAGUAUUUAAACAUUUUAAUGCUGCCAAGUUAAAUAUUUCACGUGCAGCAUAAAUUAAUUAGAUGUUUGCACUUAAAAUGCUAAUAGCAACCUUGUGCUAUAAUGAGAGAGGAAAACAAAGUCAUCCCCUUUUUUAGGUCAGCAGUCUCCACCUGCAUUCUCUCCAUCGCCACCAUCAUUUCCAGUUGUAGUGCAGUCAGUCACUACAACAGAUUCAUCCACUACCCAUGUUGCCACCUCAACUACUAGCCAGUACUAGAAGCUCCUCUACCACCACUAGGAGCUCCACUAGUAGGACAGGAUCAAGUGUUCCUGAGAAGGAAGAGACAGAUAAUGUUGCCACAUCGAAAACCACCAAGGAGACCUCUGAAGCAAAAAGGGCAGGCAGAGGUGGCAACUAUCUCACAUCGCUAAAAGGUGUGGAACCACUUUGUCCGCAUUGGAGGUGGGAAAUAAGUUAGCUGUUGGAGAAUUUUGGACCAUCUCACCUGUUUGUGAAGUUCUGCUUUUUCUAUUUUUUUUUUUGUCUAAUUAAGUUAUUUUUUAUUUUAUUAAUGGAGGCUUUAUCUUGGAUUAAGACGCCUCCCUAAGGUAAGCUUUAAAUGUCCCCCAAAUAAUGAAAGGGUUGUCGGUUGAGUCUUUAUUGUCAGACCAAAAAUGUUCUGGAACAGGGAAGGGUCUAGGGUCCAGGAUCUAUCUCUUGAUGGGUUAAAGAACCCUUGCAAAGCGAUUUCAACUAUUGCAUGGUCUGACCAUGUAGAUUGGGUUACUGCAGUAUUCAUUAUCAAUGGGCAUAGUAUUUGACUAAUAAAUAUAUAAUCAUGAGCUGCUAAA
This is a long non-coding RNA of Bombina bombina (fire-bellied toad), 1215 nucleotides long. RefSeq lists it as uncharacterized. The transcript is spliced from 2 exons. NCBI's taxonomy places the organism in Eukaryota, Metazoa, Chordata, Amphibia, Anura, Bombinatoridae. The record is from RefSeq and is a predicted model, not a curated record.